UGUACACGCUGUGACUAGCAUAUCAAUAAGCGGAGGAAAAGAAACUAACAAGGAUUCCCUCAGUAACGGCGAGUGAAGCGGGAAGAGCUCAAAUUUGAAAUCUUGAAAGGUCACCUUUCACGAAUUGUAGUUUAAAGAAGUGUUUUCUGUUACGAUCGUAAUAUAAGUUCUUUGGAAUAGGACAUCACAGAGGGUGAGAAUCCCGUCUAUGAUUGCGAUUUGUAGCUUUGUGAUACACUUUCAAAGAGUCGGGCUGUUUGGGAAUGCAGCCCAAAACGGGAGGUAAAUUUCUUCUAAGGCUAAAUAUUGGCGAGAGACCGAUAGCGAACAAGUACCGUGAGGGAAAGAUGAAAAGAACUUUGAAAAGAGAGUUAAAUAGUACGUGAAAUUGUCAAAAGGGAAGCGUUUAACACCAGUGUUGUUUUCUGAAAAUCAACCUCUGUUAGCUUUAUGCAUGUUUGUUUAGACCUAAUCAGCUAUCUUGCAUGUUCUAUUGUUUGCAGUGGUGCACUUUUCAGUUUACAGGUCAACAUCAGUUUUUUUUACCGUAAAAAAGUUAAAGAAAGGUAGCUCAUGGCUCCGGUCGUGAGUGUUAUAGUCUUUUUCCUAUGCGGUAGGAGAGACUGAGGUCUGCAGUGUAGGCUAUUUGGCUAGAUACUCAGGUGCUAUGUGAUACCAUUUCAUAAACAACUUGUUGAUUAUGUUUUGUCUAUUGCAUACUCGCUUGUACUAUCAUACCUACGCUUAGGAUGUUGAGUAGCGACAUACGCAC
Molecule: ribosomal RNA, 772 nt
Filed under: uncultured Neocallimastigales
Lineage: Eukaryota; Fungi; Neocallimastigomycota; Neocallimastigomycetes; Neocallimastigales
Description: partial large subunit ribosomal RNA
Rfam family: Eukaryotic large subunit ribosomal RNA
Source: RNAcentral